CUACCCUUCUUGGUCAUUUAGAGGAAGUAAAAGUCGUAACAAGGUUUCCUAGGUGAACCUGCGGAAGGAUCAUUAAAAAAAGAGAAACGUCCCGUUUUUUCCAUAAGAAUGGGUUCUAUUCCCUUAAACCGUGUCUACAUACCUUUGUGCUUUGGCAGGCCGCCUUCGGGCGUCGGCUCCGGCUGAUAGUGCCUGCAGAGGACCCAAACUCUAUGUUUAGUGAUGUCUGAGUACUAUAUAAUAUUAAAACUUUCAACAACGGAUCUCUUGGUUCUGGCAUCGAUGAAGAACGCACGAAAUGCGAUAAGUAAUGUGAAUUGCAGAAUUCAGUGAAUCAUCGAAUUUUGAACGCACAUUGCGCCCCUUGGUAUUCCGAGGGGCAUGCCUGUUCGGCGUCAUUAUAACCACUCAAGCCUGGCUUGGUAUUGGGGUUUUUCGCGUUUCGCGGCCCUUAAAAUCAGUGGCGGUGCCGUCUGGCUCUAAGCGUAGUAUUUCUCUCGCUAUAGGGUUCCGGUGGUUACUUGCCAAAACCCCCCAUUUUCCUAGGUUGACCUCGGAUCAGGUAGGGAUACCCGCUGAACUUAAGCAAUCAAUAAGCGGAGGA
This 604-nucleotide ribosomal RNA is filed under the name uncultured fungus. RNAcentral describes it as "eukaryotic LSU rRNA". The stretch from base 248 to 398 matches the Rfam family "5.8S ribosomal RNA". The record is from RNAcentral. Lineage: Eukaryota; Fungi.